This is a non-coding RNA of Aegilops tauschii subsp. strangulata, 1314 nucleotides long. The record is from RefSeq and is a predicted model, not a curated record. Lineage: Eukaryota; Viridiplantae; Streptophyta; Magnoliopsida; Poales; Poaceae.
UACAGCUUCCAUCGAUCGGACGCCGAGCUCGCCGAUGGAACGGGUGGACGUUUUUACAGCGCCACCUCAUUUAUUUGGGUCCAAAGCAUCUGCAGUUACCUGGAGUACGACUCACUAUCCAGGUUCUUGGAGGUGACCUGACCACGUCGGCGUGAGGUUUCAUUCGGAAUAGCGUCGUAUAGCCGGCACGCGCACACGGUGGUGGGGUUUGUUUCGCAAAUACAAUACAGUAGGCAAUAGUAAUGGGCGUGUUACAGCAAAAGUUGGCAAGGCAAGACCUCACCGCCUGGAUCUGGACGGCACAUAAGAGAUCGGACGGCGUCCGAUAGCCACAGUGCAGAGUACCCCGAGCUGGCCGAGUUCAUAUAAGACGCAGUACCCAUGCCCGAUCCCUUCCUCAGUCCCUCCCUCUCCCACCCCAAACCUCCACUGGGUUCCCACUCCAUGCGGCUCUGAAAUCUCCCAUACAUACUGCGCCCUGGAGCUGUGGCUCGGCGUCACCACCACCGCACCGCCUCUCGCGCGCGUACGUCGCCGGCCGCCGCCGCGGUCCCCGUUGUACCUCAUGGCGUCGCGGCUGCCUCCACCCCGAUGGCGGUCUUGGACACUGGUAUUUGAGAUAGACAGGACCAACUGCAAGGCAGCCGAGCCUCGCGGGCAGGAGGAGUUGCACACACAUGGAGAGUUCAGACCGAGAGGAUUCUGGCCACGGGGAGCACCGUCGGCGCUGAUUCGCCCAUAGCAAAAAUAUGGUGUUAUCCUGAUUGAGCUUUUCUUCUACCCACCAUCCUCCCCCUUCGUUUCCUCCUCUUCUUGCUGCGUUGUUUGGGUCUUCUUGACCUUGCAAGACCUUUUCUUGACCUUGUAAGACCCAACAAUGCCACAUUUCCCCUCACGUUCUUCAUCUUCUUAUUCCACCUCCUUUCCCUGGCCAUGUUCCUUUUCACCCCUCUCUCUUCCAUCUUUCUUCCAUCUAUCCCUCCUGAGCUACAUUUUCUUAUAGUUGGAUUUUUUAUAUUCAAAGUAUUGGGAACAAGAUGAUACCAUGGAGUGACAAGUGAAGGAGAUUCUACCUCCUUUGUCAUACACGUGUGUAGAUUCAUCAUCCCCACGUUGUAUUUUCCUCUUUUGUUUUGGUUGUAGAGAGUAAAGUUGAUCAGAUACAAAAGCACGGACCUUGUCGCCAUAAUGCUCAUGCACGUGGAGUAGGAGCCUACAUGUAAUUGAGCAUGUUUAUGUAUGCCAAUGUUGUAAUGAGUUUGCUAUUCCUGCUUGAAUAGAAGCAUUUUGAUGCUGUGGUACUGUUGAGAAGAA